This is a non-coding RNA of Oreochromis aureus, 570 nucleotides long. NCBI's taxonomy places the organism in Eukaryota, Metazoa, Chordata, Actinopteri, Cichliformes, Cichlidae. The record is from the annotation of a RefSeq genome assembly.
AUGACUUUGAUCUGCGUCCUCAUCUGGACUCUCCUCUGCUGCUGCUUCACAGAGUCCAGAGGACAGAUCACAGUGACUCAGCCUGGAGCAGUGAGCUCUGCUGUGGGAGGAUCUGUGAACAUCAAGUGUAGGACCAGUCAGGAUGUUUAUAGCUCUAACCGUUUAGCCUGGUACCAACAGAAAGAUGGAGGAGUUCCGAAAUUGCUCAUUUACCUUGCUAGCUAUCGACAAUCAGGGAUUCCAGCUCGUUUUACAGGCAGUGGAUCAAACUCUGACUUCACUCUGACCAUCAGUGGAGUCCAGGCUGAAGAUGCAGCAGUUUAUUACUGUCAGAGUUUUCAUGUCAUCAACAGUCAAGACAUCAUGGGGCGGAGCCCUCGUCAGCACACCUGCCAUGCUCACCUGAUUGUGAUCUAGGACAUCCGGCAGUAUUUAAGACCAGUGUCGACAUCGCUUCUUUGCUGGUCCAUCUGCUAACCACAUGUUAGCAACAGGCCGCCUUUAUGUCUUGUGCUGUGUUUAACUUUCCUUGUUCUCCUUGUGCUCUCAGUAGCAUCUCAGAUCCAUCAG